RNAcentral lists this ribosomal RNA (515 nucleotides) under Bacillus vallismortis. Its description in RNAcentral is "bacterial SSU rRNA". It matches the Rfam family "Bacterial small subunit ribosomal RNA", at positions 1 to 491 of the family's 1533-position model. The record is from RNAcentral. Lineage: Bacteria; Bacillati; Bacillota; Bacilli; Caryophanales; Bacillaceae.
CCGCGGGCUGGCUGCACGUAGAGUUUGAUCCUGGCUCAGGACGAACGCUGGCGGCGUGCCUAAUACAUGCAAGUCGAGCGGACAGAUGGGAGCUUGCUCCCUGAUGUUAGCGGCGGACGGGUGAGUAACACGUGGGUAACCUGCCUGUAAGACUGGGAUAACUCCGGGAAACCGGGGCUAAUACCGGAUGCUUGUUUGAACCGCAUGGUUCAAACAUAAAAGGUGGCUUCGGCUACCACUUACAGAUGGACCCGCGGCGCAUUAGCUAGUUGGUGAGGUAAUGGCUCACCAAGGCAACGAUGCGUAGCCGACCUGAGAGGGUGAUCGGCCACACUGGGACUGAGACACGGCCCAGACUCCUACGGGAGGCAGCAGUAGGGAAUCUUCCGCAAUGGACGAAAGUCUGACGGAGCAACGCCGCGUGAGUGAUGAAGGUUUUCGGAUCGUAAAGCUCUGUUGUUAGGGAAGAACAAGUGCCGUUCAAAUAGGCGCAACUGACAGACCAACCAGUGAGC